AGAGUUUGAUCAUGGCUCAGAAUCAACGCUGGCGGCGUGCCUAACACAUGCAAGUCGCACGAGAAAGGGGCUUCGGUCCUGAGUAAAGUGGCGCACGGGUGAGUAACACGUGAAUGAUCUACCUCCGAGUGGGGAAUAACUGAGAGAAAUCUUAGCUAAUACCGCAUAACACUUACGAGUCAAAGCAGCAAUGCGCUUGGAGAGGAGUUCGCGGCCGAUUAGUUAGUUGGCGGGGUAAUGGCCCACCAAGACGAUGAUCGGUAUCCGGCCUGAGAGGGCGCACGGACACACUGGAACUGAAACACGGUCCAGACUCCUACGGGAGGCAGCAGUGGGGAAUUUUGCGCAAUGGGGGAAACCCUGACGCAGCAACGCCGCGUGGAGGAUGAAGUAUCUUGGUACGUAAACUCCUUUCGAUGGGGAAGAUAAUGACGGUACCCAUAGAAGAAGCCCCGGCUAACUUCGUGCCAGCAGCCGCGGUAAUACGAGGGGGGCAAGCGUUGUUCGGAAUUAUUGGGCGUAAAGGGUGCGUAGGCGGUUUGAUAAGUCUGAUGUGAAAUCUCUGGGCUCAACCCAGAGUCUGCAUUAGAAACUGUCGGGCUUGAGUAUGGGAGAGGUGAGUGGAAUUUCCGGUGUAGCGGUGAAAUGCGUAGAUAUCGGAAGGAACACCUGUGGCGAAAGCGGCUCACUGGACCAUAACUGACGCUGAGGCACGAAAGCUAGGGGAGCAAACAGGAUUAGAUACCCUAGUAGUCC
Molecule: ribosomal RNA, 756 nt
Filed under: uncultured bacterium
Lineage: Bacteria
Description: bacterial SSU rRNA
Rfam family: Bacterial small subunit ribosomal RNA
Source: RNAcentral